RNAcentral lists this non-coding RNA (200 nucleotides) under Planctomycetota bacterium. RNAcentral's name for it is "6S RNA". It matches the Rfam family "6S / SsrS RNA". Rfam says of the family: E. coli 6S RNA was the first non coding RNA to be sequenced, but its function was unknown until recently. It consists of 184 nucleotides that fold into an extended hairpin structure with a large single-stranded internal bulge. The record is from RNAcentral. Lineage: Bacteria; Pseudomonadati; Planctomycetota.
CGAUCUCUGCCAUGUACGUCACGGGUUCGGAAUUGUUGACCCUAUAACAAUCCGCAGGGAGCCUUUCGAAGCUGGCCGCGUGUAAAUCCGUCGGAGUCUCUCGCAGACUCCCAUCGGCUCACACAACCCGGUUUCCCGGUUCCCACCUUGCGACGCGGGUUCAAACAACAGGGCUCGAACGGCAUUGCGGUGGAGGUCGC